GAUGAAGAACGCAGCGAAAUGCGAUAAGUAAUGUGAAUUGCAGAAUUCAGUGAAUCAUCGAAUCUUUGAACGCACCUUGCGCCCUUUGGACAUUCCGAAGGGCAUGCCUGUUUGAGUAUCAUGAACACCUCAACUCUCACGGCUUGUCCGUGAUGAGCUUGGACUUUGGGGGUCUUGCCGGCCUGUGGUCGGCUCCUCUCAAAUGGAUCAGCUUGCCAGUGUUUGGUGGCAUCACAGGUGUGAUAACUAUCUGCGCUUGUGGUUUUCCAUCAGAUAACCUUCAGUGAUACGGAGGUUCGCUGGAGCUCACAAAUGUCUCUCCUUAGUGAGGACAGCUCUUUGAACGUUUGAUCUCAAAUCAGGUAGGACUACCCGCUGAACUUAAGCAUAUCAAUAAGCGGAGGA
Molecule: unclassified non-coding RNA, 405 nt
Filed under: soil metagenome
Description: partial contains 5.8S ribosomal RNA, internal transcribed spacer 2, and large subunit ribosomal RNA
Rfam family: 5.8S ribosomal RNA (bases 1-121)
Source: RNAcentral